This 252-nucleotide ribosomal RNA is filed under the name uncultured bacterium. Its description in RNAcentral is "partial 16S ribosomal RNA". It matches the Rfam family "Bacterial small subunit ribosomal RNA", at positions 525 to 776 of the family's 1533-position model. The record is from RNAcentral.
ACGUAGGUUGCAAGCGUUGUCCGGAUUUACUGGGUGUAAAGGGCGUGUAGGCGGAGCUGCAAGUCAGAUGUGAAAUCCCGGGGCUCAACCCCGGAACUGCAUUUGAAACUGUAGCCCUUGAGUAUCGGAGAGGCAAGCGGAAUUCCUAGUGUAGCGGUGAAAUGCGUAGAUAUUAGGAGGAACACCAGUGGCGAAGGCGGCUUGCUGGACGACAACUGACGCUGAGGCGCGAAAGCGUGGGGAGCAAACAGG